Gossypium arboreum is the source of this 1882-nucleotide long non-coding RNA. RefSeq lists it as uncharacterized. NCBI's taxonomy places the organism in Eukaryota, Viridiplantae, Streptophyta, Magnoliopsida, Malvales, Malvaceae. The record is from RefSeq and is a predicted model, not a curated record. The transcript has 2 exons.
AAUAUUAUAUGUAUAUGUAAAUUGCAUAGCAUAAAGUCUCAGUUUAAGAAAAAAAAAAGGAAUAAGGAAGUCAUCAUUCUUUCAUCCAGAAGUCCUCUGAGCAUUUUAGGACCCGGUACUAAUAUUCCUAUAAUUUACUUAGCUCCAGAGUCCAGAGGUUCCUUUGCUAAUCUGUAGUAAAUUGGUCAUAAUAAGUCAUUCGCACUGAAUACAUUCAUUAUGUGAAAUGUUGUGGCUGUGCGGGGGUUGGGUUAGGCAUCUAGGGUCACAUCACAUGCCUUAGAAAUUGGCUGUGGUUGCAAGUCUGGAUUUCAACCUUCCGAGCAAGGCAUGAAAGUGAACCACUUCUCCGCCCUUUUAGACUCUUCUUAAAUUCCAGUUUCAUGCCUACGUAUCCCAUAUGAUUAACAUGAUGCAACUGAAAAUCAGCGACUGCAGUUUGGAUGAUAUAGUUAGGUCAAUCGAAUUGCAGUGUUCUGUCCGUAAAACCCAACUCCCGUGCGCAUCCUCCUCUUUUCUCACCAAAUUUUGGUAGGUGGCGUGCUGAGAGCUACCCUCGCCAUCCAUCUAAGAUAAUUUGGGAUUUUGCUAACCGAAAAAAAUGAUCACCAAUUUUCAGUCUAUGUCACAAAGCAAACAAAUGGCAGAAUACAGUGUUCACCUUCUCCCAGGUUGCUCAGCACAAAUCAAAGAUUGCUGGCUUGUCAUCGAUGGCAGAGCACUGAACGAUACAAGGUGCCUGGAAGAACAUCCAGGAGGAGAAGAGGUGUUGAUAGAGUCAGCAGGUAAGGACACCACACAGGCAUUCAGCGAUUUCGGACAUAGCAAAUUGGUUCAGAUGUGACUCCUCAAAUACUUGGUUGGCAUUCUCUAGGGUUACUCUUUCAAAGAGGAUGCAGAUGCCCAGGUUGCUUCGAUUAAAGAACCCAAGAAGAAAGAGAUGAGUGCUUUAGUGAUCAAGGAUGACAGUAUGCCCAAGUAUGCAAGCAUUGUCGAAAUGUUCCUACCACUCUUGGUUGCUGGUUCCUACUUCUCUUAUAGAUACCUCACUACAGCCUCAUCAAUGGUGUAACUGAUUUGGUAUGACCAGAAGUUUCUAGAUGAACCACCAAGCCAAUUUCAAAAUGCCUUCUAUUUUUUCCUUUAUAAACUAAUCCUGGUUUAUAAUAUUUGAUAGAGUUGGAAUUUUGCUCAGAGAUCAGUCCCUACUUAUCUCUGAUGCGACCAUUUCAUGAAGAUAGAUAAUCUUCCAUCUCUUUUUUUUCCUGAUAAGGGUAAAUAAUCUAUAAUCUACUAUUAUUACUAGGUCAUUAGUGUCAUUAGACAUUCAUAUUACCCAGCAGGAAAUUACUAACAACUGAAACGUUUGAAGAACAAAAAAAAAAAAAAAAAGGCUGUAUUAGAUGGAUUGGAUGACCAACAAGUUGAGUUUAAAGAUGGAACUGGGAUGAGACCAGCAAAGGAACUUCAACACUUUCUGCCAUUUAGGUUUGAGAUCCAAGUUAGAUGAAACUCUCACUUCCCUUCUGCAGCUCUUAAUUGGUUACAACUUAAACGAAACUGGUAGGGAAUGGAGGGUUAAAAUGCUACACGUUCAUAUUAAUACAAAGUACUAUUAAAGAAGAAAAAGAAUACAUAUAUUACAUCAUCUGACUGCCUCAGUUCAAAUCAAUCAUCCCUCUGCUCCCUGUUAACAACAGGACUUCCCCCUAACCCGAAUAAUCAAAAUCGGAGGGGAGAGAGAGACAAGAGGUUGUCAAGGAAAAGUGAAGGGGAAAAGGUACUUACUUUUUGUUGUACUAUCUUCCCUCAAAACUUCACCGUGUAUAACAUCAGGGUGCCAGCAUAACUUGCACAAGCUGGACUCCUUAACCACCUUCCC